GUAGUCGCCCAUGGAGUCUUUGACGCAAGUUGCGCCCGAAGCCAUUAGGCCGAGGGCACGUCUGCCUGGGCGUCACGCAUCGCGUCGCCCCCCCACCCCCUCACCCAUGUCCCGAAAGGGUCGCGCGCCUCACCGUGGGGGGGGGAACUUGGGGUCCGGUGCAGCUUUUCUGUCGAGCCAGAAACAACGUUUCCAUCGGUGGUUAAGUCRUSACAAGUGGUGGUCCGUGGAGAUUGUACUCGAGUUGCCGGCAAGCUGCGUCGAGGACAGCAAUUGGACCCUGCGCGAGACGACUCCCUUCGGCGAGGGGMAAUCGCAUCCAUKGCGACCCCRGGUCAGGCGGGGCUACCCGCUGAGUUUAAGCAUAUCAAUAAGCGGAGGAAAAGAAACUAACAAGGAUUCCCUAGUAACGGCGAGCGAACCGGGAAUAGCCCAAUUUAGAUCUCGACACGGUCUCUACGUCUCUGAAUUGUAGUCUGGGUAAACGUUUG
RNAcentral lists this ribosomal RNA (491 nucleotides) under Jasminum nervosum. RNAcentral's name for it is "eukaryotic LSU rRNA". The stretch from base 326 to 491 matches the Rfam family "Eukaryotic large subunit ribosomal RNA", at positions 1 to 171 of the family's 3401-position model. The record is from RNAcentral. Lineage: Eukaryota; Viridiplantae; Streptophyta; Magnoliopsida; Lamiales; Oleaceae.